Molecule: long non-coding RNA, 847 nt
Filed under: Daphnia pulex (common water flea)
Lineage: Eukaryota; Metazoa; Arthropoda; Branchiopoda; Diplostraca; Daphniidae
Description: uncharacterized LOC124193141
Source: RNAcentral
AAGCCGUAUUCGAUUUUGAAUAGCCGGUUGUUUUCGCACAAUCCUAAAUUAAUUUGCCGUAAUUUAUAAAAUGUUGUACUAUUUUCAAUGAAUGUUUUUACUUUCCAACUAUUAGGCUCGUAACUUCAGCACCAGUUCAUCAUCCCAGCAGUUGGUGAAGGCUCCAGUCCAAGUUUUUGGGUUGUAUGGUCGCUAUGCCUCAGCACUCUACUCUGCUGCUUCCAAACAGAAAUCUUUGGACAAAGUUGAAAGCGAGUUGAAGGACUUUCAUGCAACUAUCGCCAAAGAUUCUCGUUUGGCAGAAUUCAUUGCCAACCCCACUUUGAAGAGAUCACUUAAGAAAGAUGCUCUUAUUUCAGUUGCCAAGAAAUUGAAAAUGAGUGCUGUUACAGGCAACUUCCUUGAACUCCUUGCUGAGAAUGGAAGACUUAACAAAUUGGAUGUUGUCACUGGCCAUUUCUUUAACAUGAUGGCUGCAUUCAGAGGUUAAGUUGUAUGUGAGGUCACCUCAGCCAAGGCCUUGGAUGCUGCUACAUUGAAAGAGGUUACUGCCGCUCUUUCUGGAUUCUUGCAGAAGCCAGAAAGGACAGUCUCAAGAUUUCAACCAAGGUGGAUCCCUCCAUUGUUGGUGGACUUGUAGUUGUCCUUGGAGAUCGCUACAUCGACAUGAGUUUGGCAUCAAAGAUUGAACGUUACACCACUCUCCUUAAACAACCCGUCUAGAAAUUUAAGUUGGCUGCGUUAUAGUGGGAAACAAAUAUGUACAUCAAAUGGCAAAGAUAUGAUGUAGUGGAUAUGAAAAAUAAAAGAAAUCGUAUCACGAGGUUCUCCUUGUAUGCAAACAAAA